RNAcentral lists this ribosomal RNA (948 nucleotides) under uncultured Bacillus sp. RNAcentral describes it as "bacterial SSU rRNA". It matches the Rfam family "Bacterial small subunit ribosomal RNA", at positions 352 to 1286 of the family's 1533-position model. Lineage: Bacteria; Bacillati; Bacillota; Bacilli; Caryophanales; Bacillaceae. The record is from RNAcentral.
CAGUAGGGAAUCUUCCGCAAUGGACGAAAGUCUGACGGAGCAACGCCGCGUGAGUGAAGAAGGUUUUCGGAUCGUAAAGCUCUGUCCUCAGGGAAGAACAAGUACGGAAGUAACUGUCCGUACCUUGACGGUACCUGACCAGAAAGCCACGGCUAACUACGUGCCAGCAGCCGCGGUAAUACGUAGGUGGCAAGCGUUGUCCGGAAUUAUUGGGCGUAAAGCGCGCGCAGGCGGCUUCUUAAGUCUGAUGUGAAAGCCCCCGGCUCAACCGUGGAGGGUCAUUGGAAACUGGGAGGCUUGAGUGCAGAAGAGGAGAGCGGAAUUCCACGUGUAGCGGUGAAAUGCGUAGAGAUGUGGNAGGAACACCAGNUGGCGAAGGCGGCUCUCUGNGUCUGUAACUGACGCNUGAGGCGCGAAAGCGUGGGGAGCGAACAGGAUUAGAUACCCUGGUAGUCCACGCCGUAAACGAUGAGUGCUAAGUGUUGGAGGGUUUCCGCCCUUCAGUGCUGCAGCUAACGCAUUAAGCACUCCGCCUGGGGAGUACGGCCGCNAAGGCUGAAACUCAAAGGAAUUGACGGGGGCCCGCACAAGCGGUGGAGCAUGUGGUUUAAUUCGAAGCAACGCGAAGAACCUUACCAGGUCUUGACAUCCCGCUGACCGGUCUGGAGACAGGCCUUUCCCUUCGGGGACAGCGGUGACAGGUGGUGCAUGGUUGUCGUCAGCUCGUGUCGUGAGAUGUUGGGUUAAGUCCCGCAACGAGCGCAACCCUUGAUCUUAGUUGCCAGCAUUCAGUUGGGCACUCUAAGGUGACUGCCGGUGACAAACCGGAGGAAGGUGGGGAUGACGUCAAAUCAUCAUGCCCCUUAUGACCUGGGCUACACACGUGCUACAAUGGAUGGUACAAAGGGCUGCAAGACCGCGAGGUUUAGCCAAUCACAUAAAACCAUU